Molecule: ribosomal RNA, 459 nt
Filed under: uncultured bacterium
Lineage: Bacteria
Description: partial 16S ribosomal RNA
Rfam family: Bacterial small subunit ribosomal RNA
Source: RNAcentral
CCUACGGGAGACAGCAGUGAGGAAUAUUGGUCAAUGGUCGGGAGACUGAACCAGCCAAGCCGCGUGAGGGAUGAAGGUACAGAGUAUCGUAAACCUCUUUUGUCAGGGAACAAAGGCGGGGACGUGUCCCCGGAUGAGUGUACCUGAAGAAAAAGCAUAGGCUAACUCCGGGCCAGCAGCCGCGGUAAUACGGAGGAUGCGAGCGUUAUCCGGAUUUAUUGGGUUUAACGGGUGCGCAGGCGGACUGUUAAGUCAGCGGUAAAAGCCCGGGGCUCAACCCCGGCCCGCCGUUGAAACUGGCAGUCUCGAGUUGGAGAGAAGUAUGCGGAAUGCGCGGUGUAGCGGUGAAAUGCAUAGAUAUCGCGCAGAACUCCGAUUGCGAAGGCAGCAUGCCGGCUCCACACUGACGCUGAGGCACGAAAGCGUGGGUAUCGAACAGGAUUAGAUACCCCAGUAGUC